RNAcentral lists this ribosomal RNA (329 nucleotides) under uncultured eukaryote. RNAcentral's name for it is "partial 18S ribosomal RNA". It matches the Rfam family "Eukaryotic small subunit ribosomal RNA", at positions 1470 to 1796 of the family's 1831-position model. The record is from RNAcentral.
CCCUUAGAUGUUCUGGGCCGCACGCGCGCUACACUGACGGAGGCAGCGAGCGUGCCCUUCGCCGGCAGGUGCGGGCAAUCUUGCGAGUCUCCGUCGUGCUGGGGAUAGAUGGUUGCAAUUGUCGAUCUUGAACGAGGAAUUCCUAGUAAGCGCGAGUCAUCAGCUCGCGCUGAUUACGUCCCUGCCCUUUGUACACACCGCCCGUCGCUACUACAGAGUGCCCGUGUCCAAGAAACGGUCGGACCUGUGCGGCCUCUCCGGGCGACCGGAGGGCCGUUACGGGGAAGACCCUUUAUUUGACGCGGGUCGAUGAAGUAAAAGUCGUAACA